UGCAAGUCGAACGAGAACGCAUCCUUCGGGAUGCAAGUACAGUGGCGCACGGGUGAGUAACGCGUAGGCAACCUGCCCUUGAGUGGGGAAUAACCAUCGGAAACGAUGGCUAAUACCGCAUACCGUCGUAGAUCUCAUGAUCUACGAUAAAAGUCUUCGGAUGCUCAGGGAUGGGCCUGCGUCGGAUUAGCUUGUAGGUAGGGUAACGGCCUACCUAGGCAACGAUCCGUAGCUGGUCUGAGAGGACGAUCAGCCACACUGGCACUGAGACACGGGCCAGACUUCUACGGAAGGCAGCAGUAGGGAAUAUUGGGCAAUGGGCGAAAGCCUGACCCACCCACGCCGCGUGGAGGAAGACACCCCUAUGGGGCGUAAACUCCUUUUAUAUGGGAAGAAGGCCUCCCCCAGGGAGGUUUGACGGUACCGUAUGAAUAAGCACCGGCUAACUCCGUGCCAGCAGCCGCGGUAAUACGGAGGGUGCAAGCGUUGUCCGGAUUCACUGGGUGUAAAGGGUGUGUAGGCGGGACGGUAUGUCAGAGGUGAAAGCCCACGGCUCAACCGUGGAACUGCCUUUGAAACUGCCGUUCUUGAGUCUCGGAGAGGUCGCUGGAAUUCGUGGUGUAGCGGUGAAAUGCGUAUAUAUCACGAGGAACACCAGAGGCGUAGGCGGGCGACUGGACGAGUACUGACGCUGAGGCACGAAAGCGUGGGGAGCAAACAGGAUUAGAUACCCUGGUAGUCCACGCCGUAAACGAUGGAUGCUCGGUGUUGGCCCUCAUUGUGGGGUCAGCGCCCAAGCUAACGCGUUAAGCAUCCCACCUGGGGAGUACGCUCGCAAGAGUGAAACUCAAAGGAAUUGACGGG
Molecule: ribosomal RNA, 864 nt
Filed under: uncultured bacterium
Lineage: Bacteria
Description: bacterial SSU rRNA
Rfam family: Bacterial small subunit ribosomal RNA
Source: RNAcentral